UACGAAGGGGGCUAGCGUUAAUCGGAAUUACUGGGCGUAAAGCGCGCGCAGGCGGUCCUUUAAGUCUGAUGUGAAAGCCCACGGCUCAACCGUGGAGGGUCAUUGGAAACUGGGGGACUUGAGUGCAGAAGAGGAAAGCGGAAUUCCACGUGUAGCGGUGAAAUGCGUAGAGAUGUGGAGGAACACCAGUGGCGAAGGCGGCUUUCUGGUCUGUAACUGACGCUGAGGCGCGAAAGCGUGGGGAGCAAACAGG
RNAcentral lists this ribosomal RNA (253 nucleotides) under uncultured bacterium. RNAcentral describes it as "partial 16S ribosomal RNA". It matches the Rfam family "Bacterial small subunit ribosomal RNA", at positions 524 to 776 of the family's 1533-position model. The record is from RNAcentral.